RNAcentral lists this small RNA (137 nucleotides) under Marmota monax (woodchuck). The record is from RNAcentral. Lineage: Eukaryota; Metazoa; Chordata; Mammalia; Rodentia; Sciuridae.
GCCAGGUGUGGUGGUGCGCACCUGUAAUCCCAGCUACUCAAGAGGCUGAGGCAGGAAGAGUGCAAGUUUGAGGCCAGUUUGGGCAACUUGGUGAGAUGCUGAUCCAAAGUACUGGUUUAUGUAAUUACCUGCUUUUU